This 200-nucleotide long non-coding RNA is filed under the name Elaeis guineensis (African oil palm). Its description in RNAcentral is "long non-coding RNA (EGUI_LNC013553)". The record is from RNAcentral. Lineage: Eukaryota; Viridiplantae; Streptophyta; Magnoliopsida; Arecales; Arecaceae.
GGGAUUGGGUUGUAUCUUUCGGUCAAAAAAAUGGUUGUUCUUUGUUUUUGCAACAUCAACUUUCAGACCGUGCAUUGCACAGCUCUCAAAGCAGCCAUUGCACGAUCCCAUAUCUUUCCUCUAUUCAUCUGCAUAGAUCUUAAACCAGUCAUUAUGAGAUCUCAUGGUUGAUGCUGCGACAAUGAUGAAUCAUAGCCCCC